This 576-nucleotide ribosomal RNA is filed under the name Cladobotryum mycophilum. Its description in RNAcentral is "partial large subunit ribosomal RNA". It matches the Rfam family "Eukaryotic large subunit ribosomal RNA", at positions 66 to 669 of the family's 3401-position model. The record is from RNAcentral. Lineage: Eukaryota; Fungi; Ascomycota; Sordariomycetes; Hypocreales; Hypocreaceae.
CCACAUGGCAUGCCCAGUACGGCGAGUGAGCGGCAACAGCUCAAAUUUGAAAUCUGGCCCCUCGGGCCCGAGUUGUAAUUUGUAGAGGAUGCUUUUGGCAAGGUGCCGCCCGAGUUCCCUGGAACGGGACGCCGCAGAGGGUGAGAGCCCCGUCUGGCUGGCCACCGAGCCUCUGUAAAGCUCCUUCGACGAGUCGAGUAGUUUGGGAAUGCUGCUCAAAAUGGGAGGUAUAUGUCUUCUAAAGCUAAAUAUUGGCCAGAGACCGAUAGCGCACAAGUAGAGUGAUCGAAAGAUGAAAAGCACUUUGAAAAGAGGGUUAAACAGUACGUGAAAUUGUUGAAAGGGAAGCGCUCAUGACCAGACUUGGGCUUGGCGAAUCAUCCGGCGUUCUCGCCGGUGCACUUCGCCUCGCCCAGGCCAGCAUCAGUUCGCGCCGGGGGACAAAAGCUUCGGGAAUGUGGCUCCUCCGGGAGUGUUAUAGCCCGUUGCAUAAUACCCUGGGGCGGACUGAGGUUCGCGCAUCUGCAAGGAUGCUGGCGUAAUGGUCAUCAGCGACCCGUCUUGAACACGGACCCA